This 247-nucleotide ribosomal RNA is filed under the name uncultured bacterium. RNAcentral describes it as "partial 16S ribosomal RNA". It matches the Rfam family "Bacterial small subunit ribosomal RNA", at positions 355 to 593 of the family's 1533-position model. The record is from RNAcentral.
UAGGGAAUCUUCCACAAUGGACGCAAGUCUGAUGGAGCAACGCCGCGUGAGUGAAGAAGGUUUUCGGACCGUAAAGCUCUGUUGUUGGUGAAGAAGGAUAGAGGUAGUAACUGGCCUUUAUUUGACGGUAAUCAACCAGAAAGUCACGGCUAACUACGUGCCAGCAGCCGCGGUAAUACGUAGGUGGCAAGCGUUGUCCGGAUUUAUUGGGCGUAAAAGCGAGCGCAGGCGGAAGAAUAAGUCUGAU